Molecule: non-coding RNA, 2053 nt
Filed under: Pan troglodytes (chimpanzee)
Lineage: Eukaryota; Metazoa; Chordata; Mammalia; Primates; Hominidae
Source: RNAcentral
GACGCCAUCAGCACUGCCACUCUGCCCCUGCCCCAUCCCCUACCCUGUUGUGCUGGCCCGCGUGGGCUUUGGUGCCAGCUCUGCUCAGCCAUGGACCCUCGACUUCUCUGAACCUCAGUCUCCUCUUGUAGCAAACGGGCUCAUCACAGCCAGGCCUGGCAUUGAGCCAUGGUUGCUAGGACUGUCCACCUAGAGGGCCCAGCCAGGCCUUUUGGGUCAUGCCUCUGCCCCUCAAGGCUGAUGGAGAUGGCGUUUUCAGGGAGGAUGGAUGGGGUAACGUGAGGAAACUGAGGCUCGGGAGUACAGAGCCUGCCCCAACUGCUGCAUGACCUUGGGUCAACCCUGCCCCUCUCUGAGGCCUUUAGCAGGUAGAGAAUGGGCCAGAGCAGCUCCGAGUGCCCUGCAGCUCUGCUCUUGGAUUGUUCCAAGCCUCAUUCCCUCCACAUUCCUGACUCCUGUGUGGCUAUGGGCCAAGCAGUCUUUCCUUGAGCCUCUGACAUCCGAUUCUGUGUCAUGGGGUUAUCAGCCCUGCCUUCUUGGUCCUGGGCUGGGAGUGGAGGCUCCAUCCUGGCCUGGAUGGGGUGGCAAAGAGGUAGGUGCCCCCAUCCCUCACCCCUGCCUCUGCCACCAGUGUUGGGACUCUUCUGCCUGGUGUGGGCCUGGGCCUGGGGGGAACUGAUGGAGAGGCUAGAGGGGGCGUCCUGCAGGGAGAGGCCUCAAGGAAGGCAAGGCCAGCACCCACCCUCAAAGGGCCUCUGUCCUACCCAGGAGGCUCCAUCCUUCCAGCAAGGUCAGCCAAUAACUGUGGGGAUGGAGUGGAGCCGUGAGUGGGGGCAGAGGCCUAGACUCCCACCCCACAGGGCGGUCCCGGGCAAGGGCUCUCCAUCUGCAAAGUGCAGCUCUGGCCCCUGCUCUAGGCUGCUAUGGCUCUGGGAAGCCCUCCUCCUGCCCCUUCUGGGCCGCUUUCUCUGGGGUCCCCCUUGCCAUGUGCUAUGUGCCCAGGCCGUUUCUCAGGGCUGCCCGCUGUGCCCUACUGUGACCUCAGCCACUAGAACAAACCCGAGAGACCUGGAGGGAGCUCACCAGACAGGUCAGGGGUGAUGAUGUUCAAGCGCAUGAAGACAGUCCUAUGGACUUCCUGGAGGAGAGAGAGAGAGCAGUAUGUGGCACCUUUGGGAGGCGGCUUCCAGGUUUACUCCCUGGCUCCGUGACCCCAGCCCACCCUAGGGCCUUGGCUUUGAAUCCCAUCUCCACCGCUUCGUAGCUGGAUGCCUCUGGGUCUCCUGUUCUUUGAGAUUACACUGGUGACCAUACUACGUGGAUGUGCGGGUGGCUAGAUUCCUGGGUGGGAGGGUGGAUGGAUGGAUGGACGGACGGGCCCCAAGUCCAGGUGGCAGCUGUCUAACUGGAGCAGGAACUCGGAGAUGGAUGGGGACACUCUGACCUGCAUGGGUAGGCUGUCUCCCUCCUGACUCUGGGAGUCUCAUCUCCUCUGGAGUCACGGUGGGAAGAAAGGCGGAGAGGAAGUUCCAGGAGCUGGGAGGCCUGAGGGGUGACAGGCAUGCCAGGCAGAGGCAGGCAGAUCACAGGAGGCCAGAAGUUCGAGACCUGCCUAGCCAACAUAGUGAAACCCGACUCUACUAAAAUUAUAAAAAUUAGCCAGGUGUGGUGGCAGACACCCAUAGUCCCAGCUACUGGGAAGGCUGAGGCACAAGAAUCGCUUGAACCCGGGAGGAGGAGGCUGCAGUGAGCCGAGAUCGCAUCAUUGCACUCCAGCCUUGGUGACAGAGAGACCUCGUCUCUAAAACAAGAAAAAGAAGGCCGGUUGCAGUGGCUCACGCCUGUAAUCCCCGCACUUUGGGAGGCUGAGUCUGGAGACAGCGAAGAGGUUGAGGUGUUCUCGUAAAUCAGCGGUGAAAAUUCAAAUCAUCUUUGGGAAAGUGGGUUGGCAACAUGUAUUGAAACUUCAUUCAUUUUGACCCAGUAAUUCCACUAAUGUGGAAAUCUAUCCUGAGAAAAUAAUCCUAUAUAAAGAAAUGUUUCAUGCACAAUG